AUUGAACGCUGGCGGCAGGCCUAACACAUGCAAGUCGAGCGGAUGAAGGGAGCUUGCUACUGGAUUCAGCGGCGGACGGGUGAGUAAUGCCUAGGAAUCUGCCUGGUAGUGGGGGAUAACGUCCGGAAACGGGCGCUAAUACCGCAUACGUCCUGAGGGAGAAAGUGGGGGAUCUUCGGACCUCACGCUAUCAGAUGAGCCUAGGUCGGAUUAGCUAGUUGGUGGGGUAAAGGCCUACCAAGGCGACGAUCCGUAACUGGUCUGAGAGGAUGAUCAGUCACACUGGAACUGAGACACGGUCCAGACUCCUACGGGAGGCAGCAGUGGGGAAUAUUGGACAAUGGACGAAAGCCUGAUCCAGCCAUGCCGCGUGUGUGAAGAAGGUCUUCGGAUUGUAAAGCACUUUAAGUUGGGAGGAAGGGCAGUAAGUUAAUACCUUGCUGUUUUGACGUUACCAACAGAAUAAGCACCGGCUAACUUCGUG
RNAcentral lists this ribosomal RNA (484 nucleotides) under uncultured bacterium. RNAcentral's name for it is "partial 16S ribosomal RNA". It matches the Rfam family "Bacterial small subunit ribosomal RNA", at positions 30 to 507 of the family's 1533-position model. The record is from RNAcentral.